RNAcentral lists this non-coding RNA (104 nucleotides) under uncultured Niameybacter sp. RNAcentral describes it as "SAM riboswitch (S box leader)". It matches the Rfam family "SAM riboswitch aptamer (S box leader)". From Rfam's summary of the family: The SAM riboswitch is found upstream of a number of genes which code for proteins involved in methionine or cysteine biosynthesis in Gram-positive bacteria. The SAM riboswitch acts at the level of transcription termination control. The predicted structure consists of a complex stem-loop region followed by a single stem loop terminator region. The record is from RNAcentral. Lineage: Bacteria; Bacillati; Bacillota; Clostridia; Lachnospirales; Lachnospiraceae.
UCUUAUCCAGAGAGGUGGAGGGACAGGGCCCUAUGAAACCCGGCAACCAGCAAUUAUAUGCGGGUGCCAAUUCCCACAAGUGUUUAUACACUUGUAAGAUGAGG